GCCUACCCCUGGCGUAGUGGUUUGAGUGCUGGACUAUGACUCUGGAGACCAGGGUUUGAUUCCCAGCUCGGCC
This is a non-coding RNA of Phrynosoma platyrhinos (Desert horned lizard), 73 nucleotides long. The record is from the annotation of a GenBank genome assembly. NCBI's taxonomy places the organism in Eukaryota, Metazoa, Chordata, Lepidosauria, Squamata, Phrynosomatidae.